Molecule: ribosomal RNA, 492 nt
Filed under: uncultured bacterium
Lineage: Bacteria
Description: partial 16S ribosomal RNA
Rfam family: Bacterial small subunit ribosomal RNA
Source: RNAcentral
AGUGAACGCUGGCGGUAGGCCUAACACAUGCAAGUCGAGCGGCAGCACAGUAAGAGCUUGCUCUUACGGGUGGCGAGUGGCGGACGGGUGAGGAAUACAUCGGAAUCUACUUUUUCGUGGGGGAUAACGUAGGGAAACUUACGCUAAUACCGCAUACGACCUACGGGUGAAAGCAGGGGAUCUUCGGACCUUGCGCGAUUGAAUGAGCCGAUGUCGGAUUAGCUAGUUGGCGGGGUAAAGGCCCACCAAGGCGACGAUCCGUAGCUAGUCUGAGAGGAUGAUCAGCCACACUGGAACUGAGACACGGUCCAGACUCCUACGGGAGGCAGCAGUGGGGAAUAUUGGACAAUGGGCGCAAGCCUGAUCCAGCCAUACCGCGUGGGUGAAGAAGGCCUUCGGGUUGUAAAGCCCUUUUGUUGGGAAAGAAAAGCAGCAGGUUAAUACCCCGCUGUUCUGACGGUACCCAAAGAAUAAGCACCGGCUAACUUCGUG